GGGAUAUGUGAUGUGCUGCGACACCUUCCGGGGGGGAUUGGUAUGUUCUGAGGAUGUGGCAUGUCAUGUGUCCCCUUCCUGGAAGAAAUGAGUGCUGUGAUGUGGAAGGAUAUAGCCCUACAGCAAAAGAGAAUCCGCCCGCAAAAUGAUACAACCUAUGUAGUGUUAUACUACCCAUCCAGCUUCCUCUAUCUAUUUUAUACAUUUUAAAACAUAUUCGAUUUGGCUCUCUAAGGCUCUGGAGAAGAGGAAAACCCUUGAAACGCGUUAGUCAAUUAUUCGAGUAUCUCUUGUGUGGAUAACACCACAUAUCAAUCUACCACGUUUCUAACAUUGCUUUUUAUUUCUAUAUACAAAUACGUAGUAUGUCUUUGUAUAUACCCGUUUUGUUUAUAAUAAACUCCUUGUUUCAAUGAUUCAUG
Molecule: long non-coding RNA, 422 nt
Organism: Rana temporaria (common frog)
Lineage: Eukaryota; Metazoa; Chordata; Amphibia; Anura; Ranidae
Exons: 2
Source: RefSeq, a predicted model, not a curated record